AGAUGGGAGGGCAAUCUGACUGUGACAUCUGUCACUCCAUUGAUUAUAGAUCGCCAGGAUUGAUUGAGCUGAUUUGGCUGGCUAGGCAGGUGUCCCCUUUCUCCCUCACCAUUCCAUGUGCACCCCUCCCAGAGAUGCUCAUUCAGCCAGUCAAAGAGGACCACCUUCCCAGAAAGAGGAGGAUCAUUCUUUGGUCAAGGAUAUGAGAAAUUGCACUUGACUGUUCUAACUUCCAAACAAGUUGUCAAAUAAGUUUCCUAUCAUAUGCAACCUUAUCUUUCCUUCAUGUUUAUGCAUAAACAACCAGAAAUCACCAGGAAAAAAUGUACAAGUGU
Unclassified non-coding RNA from Marmota marmota marmota (Alpine marmot), 335 nucleotides. Its record names the gene 7SK. It matches the Rfam family "7SK RNA". Rfam says of the family: 7SK was discovered as an abundant small nuclear RNA in the mid-70s but a possible function has only recently been suggested. The record is from Ensembl. Lineage: Eukaryota; Metazoa; Chordata; Mammalia; Rodentia; Sciuridae.